CGCUGGCGGCAUGCUUACACAUGCAAGUCGAACGGUAACAGGCCCUUCGGGGUGCUGACGAGUGGCGGACGGGUGAGUAACACGUUGGUGACCUGCCUUGAAGAAGGGGACAACCGGUGGAAACACUGGCUAAUACCCUAUGGUCUUGACAUUAUUAGAGGAUGUCAAGUAAAGACUUCGGUCGUUUCAAGAGGGGCCAGCGGCCUAUCAGCUAGUUGGUGAGGUAAAGGCUUACCAAGGCGACGACGGGUAGGGGGCGUGAGAGCGCGACCCCCCACAAUGGGACUGAGACACGGCCCAUACUCCUACGGGAGGCAGCAGUGAGGAAUAUUGCACAAUGGGGGAAACCCUGAUGCAGCAAUGCCGCGUGAGUGAAGAGGGCCUUCGGGUUGUAAAGCUCUUUUCUGAGAGAAGAGAGAGGACGGUAUCUCAGGAAGAAGUCCCGGCUAACUACGUGCCAGCGGCCGCGGUAAAACGUAGGGGGCAAGCGUUAUCCGGAUUUACUGGGCGUAAAGCGCGCGCAGGCGGUUUAGUAAGUCAGUUGUGAAAGCUCCCGGCUCAACUGGGAGAGUGCGACUGAUACUGCUAGGCUUGAGAUUGGUAGAGGAGAGCAGAAUUCCUGGUGUAGUGGUGGAAUGCGUAGAUAUCAGAGGAAUACCAGUGGCGAAAGCGGCUCUCUGGGCCAAAUCUGACGCUC
RNAcentral lists this ribosomal RNA (697 nucleotides) under uncultured bacterium. RNAcentral describes it as "bacterial SSU rRNA". It matches the Rfam family "Bacterial small subunit ribosomal RNA", at positions 34 to 748 of the family's 1533-position model. The record is from RNAcentral.